Molecule: ribosomal RNA, 423 nt
Filed under: uncultured bacterium
Lineage: Bacteria
Description: bacterial SSU rRNA
Rfam family: Bacterial small subunit ribosomal RNA
Source: RNAcentral
AGCCAGCAGCCGCGGUAAUACAGAGGGUGCAAGCGUUAUUCGGAAUUACUGGGCGUAAAGCGCAAGUAGGCGGGUUAUCAAGUCAGAUGUGAAAUCCUGGGGCUCAACCUCAGAAUUGCGUUUGAAACUGAUAGUCUAGAGUCUGAGAGAGGGAGGUGGAAUUCCAGGUGUAGAGGUGAAAUUCGUAGAUAUCUGGAGGAACACCGGAGGCGAAGGCGGCUUCCUGGCUCAGAACUGACGCUGAAUUGCGAAAGCGUGGGUAGCAAACAGGAUUAGAUACCCUGGUAGUCCACGCUGUAAACGAUGUUAACUAGCCGUUCGAGGAAUUGACCCCUUGAGUGGUGAAGCCAACGCAUUAAGUUAACCGCCUGGGGAGUACGGUCGCAAGAUUAAAACUCAAAGGAAUUGACGGGGGCCCGCACA